GACGAACGCUGGCGGCGUGCUUAACACAUGCAAGUCGAACGGAAAGGCCCUGCUUUUGUGGGGUGCUCGAGUGGCGAACGGGUGAGUAACACGUGAGUAACCUGUCCCUGACUUUGGGAUAACUUCAGGAAACUGGGGCUAAUACCGGAUAGGAGCUCCUGCUGCAUGGUGGGGGUUGGAAAGUUUCGGCGGUUGGGGAUAGACUCGCGGGUUAUGAGCUUGUUGGUGGGGUAGUGGCUUACGAAGGCUUCGACGGGUAGCCCGCCUGAGAGGGUGGACGGCGACAUGGCGACUGAGAGACGGCGCAGAAUCGAACCGGAGGCAGCGGGGGGGAGUAUUGCGGAGUAGGCGGACGCGUGAUGCGACGGCGCCGGGUGCGGGAUGCCGGGCUACUGGUUGUGAACCGCUUUCGCCUGUGACGAGGCGUGAGUGACGGUAAUGGGUAAAAAAGCACCGGCUAACUACGUG
This 468-nucleotide ribosomal RNA is filed under the name uncultured bacterium. RNAcentral's name for it is "partial 16S ribosomal RNA". It matches the Rfam family "Bacterial small subunit ribosomal RNA", at positions 28 to 507 of the family's 1533-position model. The record is from RNAcentral.